AUGAACCGCCGCCGCCGCCCACGCUCGCCGCCGGCGCCGCUCGAGAACGACGACCUCCUCUCCGAGAUCCUCCUCCGCCUCGCCCCUCUGCCGUCCUCCCUCCCUCGCGCCUCCGCCGUCUGCAAGCAAUGGCGCCGCCUCGUCUCCGACCCCCGCUUCCUCCGCCGCUUCCGCAUCCACCACAGCCGCAACCCUCCCCUCCUCGGUUUCUUCGGAGAACAUUACUUCGAGCCUACAAUGGAUCCCCCCAAUCGUAUUCCUACCCCGGAUGACAGCUUCUACUCGUUCCUCGACGAGGACGACGGGCGCUUCCAACUCUUCGGAUCCCGCCAUGGCCUCGUGCUUAUCUUCGACAGAUCGCGGAACCAGGUCCUGGUACUGGACCCCUUCAACGGCGACAGGCACCGCAUCGCCGUUCCGCCCGAUUUCGAUGAGAGGGAGACCUCGAUCGGCGGGACGGUGUUUCGCGUUGCCGGAGACGAGCAACAUUUCCAGGUGGUCUUGGUAACCACUCAGGUAUACGAGCAAGGAGAUACAGCGAUCGCCCGUGUUUACUCGUCGGAGACUGGCGGAUGGGGUGCUCUCAUCUCAAUACUGCUUCCACCCAAGCAUCCUACUUCCGUGAUUUGUACGGGAUUUCCCAGUAUCCUAGUUGGGCAUUCCCUGUACUGGUUGCUCUCUGACAUGAAAAUUAAGGAAAGAUCGGAUGGCAUCCUUGAGUUUGAUUUGGAGAGGCAGGUCCUAUCUCUGUUACCAGUGCCGGUGGAUGCCAUUCCUACCAAACUCCAGCUUAUGCAGGCAGUGGGUGGUGGCCUUGGUAUUUUCUUUCUGUCAAAAUUCAGCGUCCAAUUAUGGAAGAUGGAGACCGAUUCUGAUGGUGUUCCUUCAUGGGUGCUAGCAAGAACUGUUGAACUGGAUAAGCUACUUCUCAUGAGUUCAAGGAAGAAGAAGAGAGAGCCCCUAUGCAUAAAGGGGUUUGCUGAGUACAAUAGUGUGGUGUUCCUACGGACACCUACCGACCUCUUCACGAUCCAGCUUGAGUCGCUGCAGUUCAAGAAAGUUUCCAGAACCAACUUCGUGGCUCGCUAUCAUCCGUUCGAAAAUGUCUAUGUUGCAGGCAUGUGCAUUGGUGGUGGACAUGAUGGAGCUGAAGUUUUGCACAAUACGUAA
This 1170-nucleotide ribosomal RNA is filed under the name Triticum aestivum (bread wheat). RNAcentral's name for it is "partial small subunit ribosomal RNA". The record is from RNAcentral. Lineage: Eukaryota; Viridiplantae; Streptophyta; Magnoliopsida; Poales; Poaceae.